CAAGAGGAUCUCGAGUUCAAAGCCAGCCUCAGCAAAAGUGAUCCUCAGGCGUCUAGCUCAGAGUCAGACAUCAUCCCCUCUUCCAAAUGUCUGUGUUUUCUUUCGAGGAUGGGGGAUUGAACUCAGGGGCACUUGACCACUGAGCCACAUCCCCAGCCUAUUUUGUGUUUUAUUUAGAGACAGGGUCUCACUGAGUUGCUUCACGCCUCACUUUUGCUGAGGCUGGCUUUGAACUCGAGAUCCUCUUGUCUCAGCCUCAGGAGCCGCUGGGAUUACAGGCAUGCACCACCAGGCCUGACCCAUGUUUUCUUGAUGUGGAGCCAUCAGUGCUGUAAUGCUGGUCAAAUGACACAGCCACUUGGGGUGUGUGACUCUGCUCCUUGGUCUUGGAGGCCUAGCUGUUAUGUUGACAUUUUUUUGAAGUAGAAUUCACAUGACAUAAAAUUAGCUAUUUUGAGGUGUGCAGGUCAGUGUUUAGAACAUUCAGUAUUCUGCCACCACCACCUCUAUGAAGUCUCAGAACAUUUUCAUCACUCCCAGGGAAACCCUGUUCAUGAGCAAGCAUUGCCAACUCCUCCCUGCCAACCCCUGGCACCCUCUAAUCUGCCUUCUGUUUCUAUAGAUUUGCCUAUUCUGAACAUUUCCUGUAAAUGGAAUCAUGUGACAUGUAGCCUUUUGGGUCUGGCUUUUGCUCAGCAUAUUGCUUUUGAGGUUCACCCAUACUGUGACAUAUGCCAUUAUUUUAUGGCUAAAUAACAUUCCGUUAUAUGGAUGGACUGAGUUUUGUUUUAUGACCAGGAUGGUGUUGAUUAGCUCUUCCAUAAUAAAGGAGCUAUGGAGGGACUUUUUCUGAUUGCAUGUGUGUCUUGUCUUAGUUUUUGAAGCAACUCUUGGCCGUGUCCAUCCUUGACCAUCUUCAUAAAAAGAUGCUGACUUUAUUACUUGUCAGCUGGCUCUCAUGACAUGUGAGCUCUUCUCUGAUUUGACUAGAUUGAUCUUACUAGAGAAUAUAGCCUUGAAUUCUUUGUCUAUACUUUUCAAGAACUGUUUUGGGAAAUAACGUAUAGUAUAUGUAUAUACGUCCCAUGUGUCACUCUAGAAUUUAGAUCGCGUUCAGCAGUCACAAGCUAGCUGCCUGUUUUUAUAAGUGAAAUGUCAAGGCCAUACCCACUUGUGUAUAAACCGUUCCCACUGUCUGCUUCCACCUGCAGUGGCAGAACCACAAGAGAUUCAUAUGGCCACAGCCCUAUAUUUUUAAGAAUGAUUGGGGACCCAAAGAGCUUUGUUUAUGUGGUUAAUGGACAUUGAUGUUCACUGCAUCAGGAAUUAAAAUAAGUUUUUAAAUAUGUGAGGAUUAAUAAUUACAAGCACAUUACUUUUUUACAUUUCAUUUUUGCAGAUUUUUAAAAAUUUCUUAGUUGUAGAUGAACACAAUAUCUGUAUUUUAUUUAUUUUUAUGUGGUGCUGAAGAUUGAACCCAGUGCGUCACACAUGCUAGGCAAGUGCUCUACCACUGAGCUACAACCACAGCCCCAGCAGAUAAUUUUAAUAUCUGGUAUCAUAGGAAAGAAGUUCUUGAAUCUUUUUCAUUUAGCCUAUUGUGAUAUCACGGCUCAGGCAGCCUGGAGGCCUCUCCUGCACACUCUUAAGAUGAGCGUGAGGUUGUCUAAUGACAGCUUUGAAUUCUUGGGAAAUAGUUUUGACAUUGUGAGAUCCAGGAAAGGUCUUGGGCCCAAAACCUGUGGAGCAGCUUUGUGUGUGUCUGGCUGCACUGACUCCUGCUGAGUUGUGCUGGUGUUCUGCUACCAGCACGCUUGGGUUGCCUUAGAAACCUCUGCAGCUUCCUCUGGUGCUUAUUCUUGGCAUGAUGGUGAGGAAUCGGGCUGAGCCAUUUCCCUCAGGUUCGAGACUAGGGUCAGUGAUACCACUAGGAUCAGUAAGAACCCACUGUGGGUUCUUACGUUGAUUAAAAAGACGUUAUCCUGACUGACCUCUUCUCUCUGCUGCGGCACCUGCGUGCGGGGAGCCUGCUUCCUCCCGUACUCAGCUCUGCUGGUGGUACGCAGGGCCUCACGCCAGUCACAGCCUGGCUCUUCUCAUGCUUCUGUUUUUUCAUCUCCAUCUGUCAUCCGUUUGCGUCUUCCUGUAGGUUAUAAUUUAUUCUGUUUCUAUAAAUUCUCAUCUUUAUGUGAACGAGAUUGAAUACAAUCCUUG
Molecule: long non-coding RNA, 2214 nt
Filed under: Marmota monax (woodchuck)
Lineage: Eukaryota; Metazoa; Chordata; Mammalia; Rodentia; Sciuridae
Source: RNAcentral